This is a long non-coding RNA of Pollicipes pollicipes, 872 nucleotides long. RefSeq lists it as uncharacterized. Lineage: Eukaryota; Metazoa; Arthropoda; Thecostraca; Pollicipedomorpha; Pollicipedidae. The transcript has 3 exons. The record is from RefSeq and is a predicted model, not a curated record.
CUUGGAAGCAAUCACGCUGGAUGUUGUAUCCCGGAAGUGGUGCGGCGAUUCUUGUGGGCUGGAACAUGAAUAACGACACCGGAUGGAUUUUGCUGAUGGUGGCGGCAUUUGCUGGAGCCUGUGUCCCAAAUGGUCUGGACCGAACGCUGCUGAAGGCAUAUCCGACUGAUUUGGUCAAGAACCAGGCUAUCGUUCCGUUCGUCAUGUCCACGCUGAUGACACAGAUGACGAUGCUGCUUAUGGAGAUGACAGAUAAAGGUGCCGAAGCUGCAGGAGCAGGUGCCGUCCCUGGUGGGGUCACAAGCGUGCUGCCUGGACCCAUUCAGCGUAUGGCAGAUCGUCCCUUCUUUGGCAUUGUCUGGAACAAGAAACCAAAGAUGAACUUCUUCUCUGGGCACAUAGCUUCACCAUAAGCGAAUGGCUAAGAUCAUGCACGCUAUUCUGAGACAAGGCGUAGGACCCACACUGCAUAGCGUUGAUCGCAUUAAGCAUGCUGUGAGUGCAGUUCAUGUAACGGCGGCUCCCAUCAUGGCUGGGUGCGACCGACAAACCUAAUGUCACACAAUCCGGAAUAAAUGGGUGGAGGGCUGCGAUUCUUUCGUGACGAAGUUCUUCUGUCCUUUAUGCGUCACCUUACCACUGUUUUUGGGGCAAAUAUAGGGAAUUGCUUGUCACUUGCAAACAUUCUCCUAACUCAUCGCUUGCGCUGAGCACUUUUCGUCCUCUGCACCACUGUUGAAGAGAAUGACACGAUCUUUGUGCUUUUUAAUCUUGGAUUUUCACUGCAGUGUGUUGGCGAUCUGUGGUUAACGCAAUCCGCACUAACUUGGGUAAUCUGGUGCUUUAGAAAUAUACGCUUCUGCGGAAACGUU